This 157-nucleotide ribosomal RNA is filed under the name Phyllachora sp. RNAcentral's name for it is "5.8S ribosomal RNA". It matches the Rfam family "5.8S ribosomal RNA". Rfam says of the family: 5.8S ribosomal RNA (5.8S rRNA) is a component of the large subunit of the eukaryotic ribosome. It is transcribed by RNA polymerase I as part of the 45S precursor that also contains 18S and 28S rRNA. Lineage: Eukaryota; Fungi; Ascomycota; Sordariomycetes; Phyllachorales; Phyllachoraceae. The record is from RNAcentral.
AAACCUUCAACAACGAAUCUCUUGGUUCUGGGCCCGAUGAAGAACGCAGCGAAUUGCGAAAUGUAAUGUGAAUUGCAGAGCUCAGUGAAUCAUCUAAUUUUUGAACGCAUAUUGCGCCUGCUAUCUUAUAGCAGGCAUGCCUGUUCGAGUGUCACUA